Molecule: small nuclear RNA, 107 nt
Organism: Vulpes vulpes (red fox)
Lineage: Eukaryota; Metazoa; Chordata; Mammalia; Carnivora; Canidae
Source: Ensembl
GUGCUUGCUUUGGCAGCACAUACACUAAAACUAGAGCGAUACAGAGAAGAUAAGCAUGGCCCCUGUACAAGAAUGAUACAUACAUUCAUAAUUAAAGGAGAGGUUAG